This 303-nucleotide ribosomal RNA is filed under the name uncultured bacterium. Its description in RNAcentral is "partial 16S ribosomal RNA". It matches the Rfam family "Bacterial small subunit ribosomal RNA", at positions 507 to 809 of the family's 1533-position model. The record is from RNAcentral.
AGCAGUAGCCGCGGGAAUACAGAGGGUGCGAGCGUUAAUCGGAUUUACUGGGCGUAAAGCGUGCGUAGGCGGCUUUUUAAGUCGGAUGUGAAAUCCCUGAGCUUAACUUAGGAAUUGCAUUCGAUACUGGGAAGCUAGAGUAUGGGAGAGGAUGGUAGAAUUCCAGGUGUAGCGGUGAAAUGCGUAGAGAUCUGGAGGAAUACCGAUGGCGAAGGCAGCCAUCUGGCCUAAUACUGACGCUGAGGUACGAAAGCAUGGGGAGCAAACAGGAUUAGACCCCCGUAGUCCCUGUCUCUUAUACAC